AGUGAACGCUGGCGGUAGGCCUAACACAUGCAAGUCGAACGGCAGCACAGUAAGAGCUUGCUCUUACGGGUGGCGAGUGGCGGACGGGUGAGGAAUACAUCGGAAUCUACUUUUUCGUGGGGGAUAACGUAGGGAAACUUACGCUAAUACCGCAUACGACCUACGGGUGAAAGCAGGGGAUCUUCGGACCUUGCGCGAUUGAAUGAGCCGAUGUCGGAUUAGCUAGUUGGCUGGGUAAAGGCCCACCAAGGCGACGAUCCGUAGCUGGUCUGAGAGGAUGAUCAGCCACACUGGAACUGAGACACGGUCCAGACUCCUACGAGAGGCAGCAGUGGGGAAUAUUGGACAAUGGGCGCAAGCCUGACCGAGCCAUACCGCGUGGGUGAAGAAGGCCUUCGGGUUGUAAAGCCCUUUUGUUGGGAAAGAAAAGCUGCAGGUUAAUACACCGAUGUUCUGACGGUACCCAAAGAAUAAGCACCGGCUAACUUCGUG
RNAcentral lists this ribosomal RNA (492 nucleotides) under uncultured bacterium. RNAcentral describes it as "partial 16S ribosomal RNA". It matches the Rfam family "Bacterial small subunit ribosomal RNA", at positions 29 to 507 of the family's 1533-position model. The record is from RNAcentral.